AACAGAACCCCCGAGCGUUAUCCGGAUUUAUUGGGCGUAAAGUGUCCGUAGCCGGUCUAGAAAGUCUUUGGUUAAAGCUCAAGGGCUUAACCUUUGAAUUGCCAAGGAAACUUCUAGACUAGAGGGCGUUAGGGGCUGAUGGAACUCUUGGUGGAGGGGUGAAAUCCGUUGAUAUCAAGAGGAACACCAAAAGCGAAGGCAUUCAGCUGGGGCGACCCUGACGGUGAGGGACGAAAGCGUGGGGAGCAAAAAGG
This 254-nucleotide unclassified non-coding RNA is filed under the name Candidatus Yanofskyibacteriota bacterium. Its description in RNAcentral is "Candidatus Yanofskybacteria bacterium contains 16S-23S intergenic spacer region". It matches the Rfam family "Bacterial small subunit ribosomal RNA", at positions 524 to 776 of the family's 1533-position model. Lineage: Bacteria; Candidatus Yanofskyibacteriota. The record is from RNAcentral.